AUUGAACGCUGGCGGCAGGCCUAACACAUGCAAGUCGAGCGGAUGAAGGGAGCUUGCUCCUGGAUUCAGCGGCGGACGGGUGAGUAAUGCCUAGGAAUCUGCCUGGUAGUGGGGGAUAACGUCCGGAAACGGGCGCUAAUACCGCAUACGUCCUGAGGGAGAAAGUGGGGGAUCUUCGGACCUCACGCUAUCAGUUGGGCCUAGGUCGGAUUAGCUAGUUGGUGGGGUAAAGGCCUACCAAGGCGACGAUCCGUAACUGGUCUGAGAGGAUGAUCAGUCACACUGGAACUGAGACACGGUCCAGACUCCUACGGGAGGCAGCAGUGGGGAAUAUUGGACAAUGGGCGAAAGCCUGAUCCAGCCAUGCCGCGUGUGUGAAGAAGGUCUUCGGAUUGUAAAGCACUUUAAGUUGGGAGGAAGGGCAGUAAGUUAAUACCUUGCUGUUUUGACGUUACCAACAGAAUAAGCACCGGCUAACUUCGUG
RNAcentral lists this ribosomal RNA (484 nucleotides) under uncultured bacterium. Its description in RNAcentral is "partial 16S ribosomal RNA". It matches the Rfam family "Bacterial small subunit ribosomal RNA", at positions 30 to 507 of the family's 1533-position model. The record is from RNAcentral.